This 472-nucleotide ribosomal RNA is filed under the name uncultured bacterium. Its description in RNAcentral is "bacterial SSU rRNA". It matches the Rfam family "Bacterial small subunit ribosomal RNA", at positions 28 to 507 of the family's 1533-position model. The record is from RNAcentral.
GACGAACGCUGGCGGCGCGCCUAAUGCAUGCAAGUCGAGCGACGCAUAUUCGGUGGGUAACCACUGGGUAUGACGGAGCGGCGAACGGGUGAGUAACACGUGAGUAACCUGCCCCGAAGAUCGGGAUAGCCCGGGGAAACUCGGAUUAAUACCGAAUACCCUCUCUGGAUCGCAUGAUCCGAUGAGGAAAUGCCUUUGUGCUUCGGGAUGGACUCGCGGCCUAUCAGCUAGCUGGUGAGGUAACGGCUCACCAAGGCAACGACGGGUAGCUGGUCUGAGAGGACGAUCAGCCACACUGGGACUGAGACACGGCCCAGACUCCUACGGGAGGCAGCAGCAGGGAAUCUUGUCCAAUGGGCGAAAGCCUGAGACAGCGACGCCGCGUGAGGGAUGAAGGCCUUCGGGUUGUAAACCUCUUUCAGGAGGGACGAAAUUGACGGUACCUCCAGAAGAAGCCCCGGCCAACUACGUG